Molecule: ribosomal RNA, 1466 nt
Filed under: uncultured Bordetella sp.
Lineage: Bacteria; Pseudomonadati; Pseudomonadota; Betaproteobacteria; Burkholderiales; Alcaligenaceae
Description: partial 16S-23S ribosomal RNA intergenic spacer
Rfam family: Bacterial small subunit ribosomal RNA
Source: RNAcentral
GGUUUGAUUAGCUCAGAUUGAACGCUGGCGGGAUGCUUUACACAUGCAAGUCGAACGGCAGCACGGACUUCGGUCUGGUGGCGAGUGGCGAACAGGUGAGUAAUGUAUCGGAACGUGCCUAGUAGCGGGGGAUAACUACGCGGCGUAGCUAAUACCUGCGCCCUUCGGGGAAAGCGGGGGACCUUCGGGCCUCGCACUAUUAGAGCGGCCGAUAUCGGAUUAGCUAGUUGGUGAGGUAACGGCUCACCAAGGCGACGAUCCGGCCAGCUGGUUUGAAGGACGACCAACCACACUGGGACUGAGACACGGCCCAGACUCCUACGGGAGGCAGCAGUGGGGAAUUUUGGACAAUGGGGAAACCCUGAUCCAGCCAUCCCGCGUGUGCGAUGAAGGCCUUCGGGUUGUAAACACUUUUGGCAGGAAAGAAACGGCACGGGGAUAAUACCCCGUGCAACUGACAUUACCGCCUGCAGAAUAAGCACCGGCUAACUACGUGCCAGCAGCCGCGGUAAUACGUAGGGUGCAAGCGUUAAUCGGAAUUACUGGGCGUAAAGCGUGCGCAGGCAGUUGGAAGAAAGUGAAAUCCCAAGAGCUUAACUUUGGAACUGCAUUUUUAACUACCGAGCUAGAGUGUGUCAGAGGGAGGUGGAAUUCCGCGUGUAGCAGUGAAAUGCGUAGGUAUGGCGGAGGAACACCGAUAGCGAAGGCAGCCUCCUGGGAUAACACUGACGCUCAUGCGAAAGCAUUGGGGAGCAAACAGGAUUGAAUACCCUGGUAGUCCACGCCUAAACGAUGUCAACUAGCUGUUGGGGCCUUCGGGCCUUGGUAGCGCAGCUAACGCGUGAAGUUGACCGCCUGAUACGGUCGCAAGAUUAAAACUCAAAAUUGACGGGGACCCGCACAAGCGGUGGAUUGAUGUGGAUUAAUUCGAUGCAACGCGAAAAACCUUACCUACCCUUGACAUGUCUGGAAUCCCGAAGAGAUUUGGGAGUGCUCGCAAGAGAACCGGAACACAGGUGCUGCAUGGCUGGCGUCAGCUCGUGUCGUGAGAUGUUGGGUUAAGUCCCGCAACGAGCGCAACCCUUGUCGACCCAGUUUCUGCGAAAGGGCACUCUAAUGAGACUGCCGGUGACAAACCGGAGGAAGGUGAGGAUGACGUCAGAGUCUCAUAGCCCUUAUGGGUAGAGGCUUCACACGUCAUACAAUGGUCGGGACAGAGGGUCGCCAACCCGCGAGGAGCCAAUCGAAACCCGAUCGUAGUCCGGAUCGCAGUCUGCAACUCAGGCUGCGUGAAGUCGGAAUCGCUAGUAAUCGCGGAUCGGCAUGUCGCGGUGAAUACGUUCCCGGGUCUUGUACACACCGCCCGUCACACCAUGGGAGUGGGUUUUACCAAGUAGUUAGCUUCAACAGCGAGGGCGGUCUACGAGCCAGUUCGCUGACUGGGGUGAAGUCAUGGCCUAAGGUAA